GAUGAAGAACGUAGCGAAAUGCGAUAAGUAAUGUGAAUUGCAGAAUUCAGUGAAUCAUCGAAUCUUUGAACGCACAUUGCGCCCGCCAGUAUUCUGGCGGGCAUGCGUGUUCGAGCGUCAUUACAACCCUCAGGCCCCCGGGCCUGGCGUUGGGGAUCGGCGGAAGCCCCCUGCGGGCACAACGCCGUCCCCCAAAUACAGUGGCGGUCCCGCCGCAGCUUCCAUUGCGUAGUAGCUAACACCUCGCAACUGGAGAGCGGCGCGGCCACGCCGUAAAACACCCAACUUCUGAAUGUUGACCUCGAAUCAGGUAGGAAUACCCGCUGAACUUAAGCAUAUCAAUAAGCGGAGGA
This 353-nucleotide unclassified non-coding RNA is filed under the name soil metagenome. RNAcentral's name for it is "partial contains 5.8S ribosomal RNA, internal transcribed spacer 2, and large subunit ribosomal RNA". The stretch from base 1 to 120 matches the Rfam family "5.8S ribosomal RNA", at positions 35 to 154 of the family's 154-position model. The record is from RNAcentral.